RNAcentral lists this ribosomal RNA (460 nucleotides) under uncultured bacterium. RNAcentral describes it as "partial 16S ribosomal RNA". It matches the Rfam family "Bacterial small subunit ribosomal RNA", at positions 338 to 795 of the family's 1533-position model. The record is from RNAcentral.
CCUACGGGAGGCAGCAGUGAGGAAUAUUGGUCAAUGGACGGAAGUCUGAACCAGCCAAGUCGCGUGAAGGAUGACGGCCCUAUGGGUUGUAAACUUCUUUUAUGCGGGGAUAAAAUGCGCCACGUGUGUCUUUUUGUAGGUACCGUAUGAAUAAGGAUCGGCUAACUCCGUGCCAGCAGCCGCGGUAAUACGGAGGAUCCGAGCGUUAUCCGGAUUUAUUGGGUUUAAAGGGUGCGUAGGCGGCCGGUUAAGUUAGCGGUGAAAUGGCGGGGCUCAACCGUGGAAUUGCGGGGGAAACUGGCAGGCUGGAGUGCGGGAGAGGUAUGCGGAAUGCGUGGUGUAGCGGUGAAAUGCUUAGAUAUCACGAAGAACUCCGAUUGCGAAGGCAGCAUACCGGACCGCUACUGACGCUGAGGCUCGAAAGCGUGGGUAUCGAACAGGAUUAGAUACCCGUGUAGUC